UACGGAGGGUGCAAGCGUUAUCCGGAUUCACUGGGUUUAAAGGGUGCGUAGGCGGGUUGGUAAGUCCGUGGUGAAAUCUCCAAGCUUAACUUGGAAACUGCCGUGGAUACUAUCAAUCUUGAAUAUCGUGGAGGUAAGCGGAAUAUGUCAUGUAGCGGUGAAAUGCUUAGAUAUGACAUAGAACACCAAUUGCGUAGGCA
This 200-nucleotide ribosomal RNA is filed under the name uncultured bacterium. RNAcentral's name for it is "partial 16S ribosomal RNA". It matches the Rfam family "Bacterial small subunit ribosomal RNA", at positions 524 to 723 of the family's 1533-position model. The record is from RNAcentral.